CACAUGGGCACUACUAAGGUGGGAAAAUGCUUCACACUAAAUGGAUAACAAGAAAAGUAAUGUAAAACUAACCUCGAAUACUCGAGUAAAACUAACUUUGUUGAUAUUAACAAAGUAGAAGAAAAGAACAAAGUAAUUAAUUGUAGAGAAAAUCUGAAAUCUGAAUUGUAUUAAGAGAAUUGUGUGUUCUACAAGCAUGGCUUAAUGCCUUUAAAUAAGAUUCUAAUUAUAGAAGUAAUCCUAGUUCUAAUUGUAUUCCUAAAACACUAAGUCUAAUAACCUAACAAAACAAUCCUUAUGGAAUAGGAAUUCCUAAUACUAAUAAUAUUACUAAAUAGAUAAAAAAAAGAAAAAAAGAAUCCUAAUGUAACUGUAACUCUGCAUCAGUCCCCCUUUGUUGAAAAAGACUCGUCCUCGAGGCUUGUUAGAAAGUGUGGAUCAUCCCCAUGAAAUGCAUAUAGGUCUGCAACAUUAAAGGUCGGAGAAAUGUUAUAACCUUCAGGUAAGUCAACCACAUAGGCAUUGUCAUUAAUUUUGCGUAAAAUCUUGUAAGGUCCAAUCUUCUUCAUCUUCAACUUGUUAUAUGUGCCAGUAGGAAAACGCUCUUUACGUAAAUGCACCAUAACAAGGUCACCAACUUCAAAUGUUUGUAAACGUCGAUGUGCAUUAGUGGAAGCUUUAUACUUUGCAUUGGCAGCUUCAAUAUUCUUUGUAGCCAUAUCAUGAAUUUCCGCAACUUGUUCAAGAAAUUCAUUAGCCAAUGUAUUGACCCCUGGAACGUGAGGAAGACUUACCAGAUCAAGAGUAUGCUUAGGAACUGUAGGAUAAACAAUCCUAAAAGGAGAAAAUCCCGUGGUGCGACUUUUUGAGGAAUUAUAAGCAAAUUCAGCAUGGGGAAGACAAAUAUCCCAUUGUUUGGGUUUGGCACCGGAAAGAGCUCUUAAUAAAUUUCCCAAAGUGCGGUUAACAAUCUCUGUUUGACCGUCAGUUUGUGGAUGGGCGGUACUACUGAAUUUCAAGGAAGUAUCCAAGCGACGCCAUAAAGUUUGCCAAAAAUGACUCAAAAACUUUGAAUCCCGAUCAGAAGUGAUAGACUGAGGAACACCAUGAAGACGAACAACAUCUCUAAAGAAUAAGUUAGCAAUGUACACCGCAUCAUGUGUCUUCUUACAUGGAAUAAAAUGAGCCAUUUUCGAGUAUCUAUCCACAACCACAAAAACUGAAUCACCACCACGUUGAGUGCGGGGUAGUCCCAAAACAAAGUCCAUAGAGAUAUCUAUCCAAGGUGCAUCUGGUACUGGGAGAGGAGUGUAAAGACCUGUAUUUUGAGAGUGUCCUUUGGCUUGUUGACAGAUAAAACAUUUUUUAACAAAAUUAUUAACAUCUUUCUUUAAAGAAGGCCAAUAAUAACGAGAUUCCACCAAGUCAAAAGUUUUAUCUUGACCCAAAUGUCCACCUAGUCCACCAGCAUGUAACUCCUUGAGAAAAUGUUCUCUCAAAGAACCUUGUGGAAUACAAAGGCGAGUUCCACGAAAAAGAAAACCAUCUUGUAAUAAGAAAUCAGAGGUACCUCCAGUGUUAUUAUAUAAUUUCUCCCAAAUCUCAGAAAAAUCAUGAUCCGUUGGAUACAAAUCCUUGAGAUAAUCAAAGGCAACAAUAGAAGCACGAACAGUAACAAGGAGUGAAACACGCCGACUUAAAGCAUCAGCAACUUUAUUUUGAACACCAGAUUUAUGUUUGAGAGAGAAUGUGAAUUUUUGAAGCUCUGCAACCCAACGAGCAUGCAUCCGAUUAGUAUGAGUAUUGCUUUGAAGAUAUUUGAGAGCUUCAUGAUCGGUAUAUAGAAUAAAAUGCCUUUGAAACAAAUAAUGUUUCCAAUGCCGAACAACUUGUACAACUGAAUAAAACUCAAGUUCAUAAGUAGUCCAUAAGCGACGAGACUCGCUCAAUUUUUCACUAUGAUAAGCAAUGGGCCUGCUUUCCUGUGAUAACACGGCUCCAAUGCCAUGAGCAGAAGCAUCACAAUCUACUUCAAAUAAUUUUNNNNNNNNNNNNNNNNNNNNNNNNNNNNNNNNNNNNNNNNNNNNNNNNNNNNNNNNNNNNNNNNNNNNNNNNNNNNNNNNNNNNNNNNNNNNNNNNNNNNCCAAAGUCCAAACAAGUCUUUCAAUGCGCCAUGCACAGAGAGAGUAGCAAUAGUAGAAAAAUUACGCACAAAACGACGAUAAAAAAAAAAGCCAAUCCAUGAAAAGAACGCACUUCCGAGAUGGUUUGAGGAGUAGGCCAUUCGCGAAUAGCUUUGACCUUAGUUUGGUCCACAUGAAUACCAUCUGCGGAGAUAACAUAACCCAAGAAAAGAAGACUAGACUGCAGGAAAGUACACUUCUUUAAUUGAAUCUGGAGUGAAUUACCUUGAAGUGCGUUAAAAACUUCGCGCAGAUAUUGGAAAUGUUCUUUUUCUGACUUGCUAUAUAUAAGAAUAUCAUCAAAGUAAACAACCACAAACUUGCCUAAAAAUGGCUUCAACACCUCAUUCAUCAACCUCAUGAACGUGCUUGGAGCAUUGGAUAACCCGAAGGGCAUAACAAGCCAUUCAUAUAGACCUUCUUUAGUUUUGAACGCAGUUUUCCAUUCAUCCCCUGGUCUUAUGCGAAUCUGAUGGUAUCCGCUCUUUAAGUCAAUCUUGGAGAAAAUUGUGGAACCCGAAAGCAUAUCGAGCAUGUCAUCAAAAUGAGGUAUGGGAAAACAAUAACGAACUGUGAUUUUAUUUAUUGCUCGACUAUCAAUGCACAUACGCCAAGAACCAUCCUUUUUUUGUACCAAAAGUGCUGGAACUGCACAAGGGCUCAUGGAAUCACGAAUGAGACCUUUAUCUAGAAGAUCUUGGACUUGUUCAUGUAAAAUAGCAUGUUCUUUUGGAGACAUCCUGUAAUGUGGAAGAUUAGGCAAAGAAGCACCUGGAACUAAAUCAAUGUGAUGUUGAAUAUUCCGCAUUGGUGGUAACGAGGUUGGAUAAUCUGUCGGGAGAAUACUAGAAAAUUCAUUCAAAAGAGAAGUGAUGGAUGCUGGAACAUCAACUACAUGGGAGCUAACACCUUGAGCAGCAAGAGCAUAUAUCACAUCUGAAUCAUUAAGAUCAUGCUCAUCAUCAGUAGACAGUAACAAAAUAGGUUUCUCUUGAGAAGGUGCUUGAGGAGGCUGGUUAGACUUCAUUGGAGUCAACACAUAUUUGACACCAUUUUUGGAGAAAAUAUAAGUAUUAGCACGACCCUUAGAAUCGACAUCAAGGUCAUACAACCAAGGUCAUCCUAGUAGCAUAUGAGAAGCAUUCAUAUCAACAACAUCGCAUAAAAUUUCAUCACUAUAAGAACCAAUUGAGAACGGAACGCGACAUUGAGAGACCACCAUAGUAGUAUGAUCGUCCUUAAUCCAAGAAAUAGAAUAAGGAUCUGGAUGGGCAGAUAAUGGCAAACCCAAUUUCUCAACAACAGCUUUAGAGAUGAUAUUCUCACAAGAACCCCCAUCAAUAAUAAACUUAACAAGUUUACCUUUCACUGUGCCUUGGGAACGGAAAAUUUUGUGUCGUUGAGAAGGAUCACCUUGCUUCGAAAGGAGUAGUUUGCGCACAAUGCAACAAUUGUCAUCAUCUUCAUUAAAAUCAUCCAAAGCUGGCUCAAGACCAUAAUCACCCUCUAAAUGCUCUACAAAUUUAGUAUUACAGUGCCCGUGCACCAUACAAAGCUGGAUUAUCAUCAUGGUGAUCAGGCCCACCCAUGUGGUUUAUCCCAAAAGGCUAGACAUAGUAGAGUAUGGUUAAGCUCUAUAUACUACCAAUACAACCACUUUCUUGGCAAUGUGGGACUAACACCAACUCAUGGGUGUUACAUCGGGUAGAAGGGUUUUGCGUAGUUGUGCGGUUGGUGGAUUGUGAGUAACGGUUGGUUGUGGAAAAAGAAUUGUUCGAAGAAUUUUGGUGUGGAGAUGAUGUUGAAGAAUUGGGUUGAGUGUUGGUAAGUUGUUUUUGAUGGAGUUUGGAGUAGGUAUUCGUUGUUUAAAGCUUCAGCAACUGCAGGAACAAACGGUUGGGGAAAAGUGGUGGUGUUGAUUGGUGAUGAUGGUUGUGGGUUGAAAGAGGAAACUUUAGGAAUUGAUGUAGAUGACGACGAAGACUUACCAAAAGAUUGAACUAUAAGCGCUGCAACGGAAUCAACAAUCUUCUUUAUUUGUUGUUGCAUAUCCAUCAUAAGCUUUUGAUUUCAAGACUCAAUCUUGUUCGCCCAAUUAGCAAAUUCUGUAGCAAGCUCUUCUUUGGUGACGUAAUUUGCAGAAUUUUGGUCGCCAACACUAUUCUUUCCUAUCAUGGUUUCUCUGCAGCGGAAAUUGAUGGCAGCGAUGAUUGUAAGGGUAAAAAGGGUGGUGGUAGAUGAAAAACACAGGUAAGAUCAACCUGCUCUGAUGCCACUUAAUGUAAAACUAACCUCGAAUACUCGAGUAAAACUAACUUUGUUGAUAUUAACAAAGUAGAAGAAAAGAACAAAGUAAUUAAUUGUAGAGAAAAUCUGAAAUCUGAAUUGUAUUAAGAGAAUUGUGUGUUCUACAAGCAUGGCUUAAUGCCUUUAAAUAGAUCUCUAAGAUUCUAAUUAUAGAAGUAAUCCUAGUUCUAAUUGUAUUCCUAAAACACUAAGUCUAAUAAUCUAACAAAACAAUCCUUAUGGAAUAGGAAUUCCUAAUACUAAUAAUAUUACUAAAUAGAUAAAAAGAAGAAAAAAAGAAUCCUAAUGUAACUGUAACUCUGCAUCAAAAAGUAUGCUAUCUUCCUGAGUAGAAAUAUCUCAAGAUAUUUUCCACUAAAAGGAUAUCAUUUUGAUGUUUAACCCGGCUUUCUUCAACUUAUCUCAAUUCUCAACAACUCUCUCAUUUAAAAUGUAUGAUACAUUUUCCGCCAAAUUGCCAAUUUCUUAAUCAACUAGAAGAUAGUGAUGGCUGUAAGAUUUUCCAAAUGCAUAAGAUUUUCCAAAUUUUUUUAACAUGUCAAUUAUAUAUAGAUUGUUGAAUCAAUUACACAAGGAAAUUAGUACAUCAAAAUCUAGGGCUUAUACCUCUUUCAUGAAUUGACUUUUGAAAUAAUUAAU
This 5129-nucleotide long non-coding RNA is filed under the name Aquilegia coerulea. RNAcentral describes it as "long non-coding RNA (ACOE_LNC002356)". The record is from RNAcentral. Lineage: Eukaryota; Viridiplantae; Streptophyta; Magnoliopsida; Ranunculales; Ranunculaceae.